GCCGGAGUGGUGGAAAGGCAUACACGUUCGUCUUAAAAACGAAUGCCCGAAAGGGAUUGUGGGUUCGAAUCCCACCUUCGGCACCA
Molecule: transfer RNA, 86 nt
Filed under: Chloroflexota bacterium
Lineage: Bacteria; Bacillati; Chloroflexota
Description: Chloroflexi bacterium (groundwater metagenome) tRNA-Leu
Rfam family: tRNA
About the family: Transfer RNA (tRNA) molecules are approximately 80 nucleotides in length.
Source: RNAcentral